GAUGAACGCUGGCGGCGUGCCUAAUACAUGCAAGUCGAGCGAACGGACGAGAAGCUUGCUUCUCUGAUGUUAGCGGCGGACGGGUGAGUAACACGUGGAUAACCUACCUAUAAGACUGGGAUAACUUCGGGAAACCGGAGCUAAUACCGGAUAAUAUUUUGAACCGCAUGGUUCAAAAGUGAAAGACGGUCUUGCUGUCACUUAUAGAUGGAUCCGCGCUGCAUUAGCUAGUUGGUAAGGUAACGGCUUACCAAGGCAACGAUGCAUAGCCGACCUGAGAGGGGGAUCGCCCACAUUGGAACUGAGACACGGUCCAGACUCCUACGGGAGGCAGCAGUAGGGAACGUUACGCAAUGGGGGAAAGCCUGACGGAGCAACGCCGAGUGAGUGAUGAAGGUCUUCGGAUCGUAAAACUCUGUUAUUAGGGAAGAACAUAUGUGUAAGUAACUGUGCACAUCUUGACGGUACCUAAUCAGAAAGCCACGGCUAACUACGUG
Molecule: ribosomal RNA, 497 nt
Filed under: uncultured bacterium
Lineage: Bacteria
Description: partial 16S ribosomal RNA
Rfam family: Bacterial small subunit ribosomal RNA
Source: RNAcentral